ACGCCUCAAGUUGUCAUACCACUGUUAGAAUUUCUCUCUGAUGAUGGAGAUUUGGAUAAACAGGAAAUCGCAUACAUAAAAGGCUUGGUCUUGAAGCUAGAGGAAGAAUUGCAUACUGUAACAUCUUCAUCCUCCAAAUAAUUACACAUCCCGGCAGAUCAAAUUGGUGGUGCAAUACAAAGACAGUUCGCGGACGCCUUGAAAGUUCAUGUUCAACAGCAAGCGAAUGACGGUUGGAAGAGGAAGCAACUGGAUGUUUGGUCAACCAGCAAAGCAGCUGGUGGCGACAAAGGAAACCUAUAAGGGCUUACCAGUGGAACUUCAAAAUCUACAUGUCAUUAAGAAACAUCAGAUGUUUGUUGGAAUCCUCAAAAGUUCUAAACUCUUCGUACAAAAACAGGAACAACGUGAACUACUUGACAAAAAUGGGGAUUGCAAUAGAUUAAUCUUACUGGACCUUUUGAUGGUGCUUCCUUAGAUCGAAAUUCUAAAUCGAGUUUUGGUCUAUGGAACCGACUUGAGACACAAAAAACUAUUUUUGUUGAGCCACGACGAAAAAACGAAUUUACAGAGGCAAUGGAAGGAUUUUAUGAAAACGUUUGCAACCCAGAGAACAAGGGUGCUGUUUCUUGUUGUUUGCUAAAGAAAGACCGAACGUAUGUGUGCCAGGAUCAGGUGACCAGCUGUGCAUUCACCCCCAGGUUCUUGAACAAGAAACACACACGGCCAAGGCAAGUGUAAAUGACUUCAUUGACCGUUGAGGCAUUUGUGCUGUACAAAGGUGUUAUCAUGCAAAGACGUGUCAUUACUAUAAUUUGCUGCAACAAGCGAUAUACCAGUGGAACUUCAAAAUCCACAUGUCAUCAAGAAACAUCAGAUGUUUGUUUGAAUCCUCAAAACAGUACCCGACUCCGCAGUUUUAAAUUCUUCGAACAACGUGAACUACUUGACAAGCCUGGGUAUUGCAAUGGGUCCCUCUGUUCUCCAAUGUACGUCACUUCCGGUGAAAAAGCCACGAAAAAAAGCCAACUUUGAGGCCCGAAUAAACGAAUGCGUCAUCGAAGAAAGAAUGCGUCAACAGCGCGCCAUAAUUAAGCGUUCGACCGCAUCUGAAGCUUUACCUCGAAAGGUCGCAGAGAGUGUAACAAACGAAAACUGCUCACCGAGAAACAUUCUGCGAAAUGGUGCAACAUUGCUAAAGAAGCAAGAGAUCUUAGGUCUCGCCUACAGAAACAAACAUAUAUUACGCAGCACGGUUUUUACCCUGGGUGACACAUUGGACGAGACGAGGCAGCUCGUCGUGAAGAGAAGCGUGGCGUCAUAGAAUUUCACGUCGUUGGGAACUGGCUGCGAGGACAGCUCUCUCAAAAGAAUAUUAUGUGGUUGAUUGGCUUGACAAAAAGUAUUUUCAUAUCAACUAACGCGAAUGCCGAAA
RNAcentral lists this unclassified non-coding RNA (1435 nucleotides) under Dendronephthya gigantea. RNAcentral describes it as "uncharacterized LOC114542261, transcript variant X4". Lineage: Eukaryota; Metazoa; Cnidaria; Anthozoa; Malacalcyonacea; Nephtheidae. The record is from RNAcentral.